CUCAAGCAGUCCUCCAACUUUAGCCUCCCAAGUAGCUGGAACCACAGGUUUUAAAGAUGAAGAAACUUUUGUGUUGCACCUUCCAACAGCCACCAUUGGGGAUUUGCUUCAUUUGUCUCUCUAGCCUCCUCUGUACUGGUGCCCCAUAGCCUGACGUCCUGAAGCAAUUCAUGAAAUACAGAGUUUAAGAAAAAUAGAUUGCCUCAACACCAACAUUGCCUGUAGCUACUCCAUGAGGCAAGAUGGACCCAGACUCCACUGUGUGGACUGACCUCCCAG
Molecule: long non-coding RNA, 279 nt
Filed under: Homo sapiens (human)
Lineage: Eukaryota; Metazoa; Chordata; Mammalia; Primates; Hominidae
Description: HSALNT0310021
Source: RNAcentral